UUUCCGAUGCACGCUGGCGUGCAGGCCUAACACAUGCAAGUCGAGCGGUAACAGGAAAGUAGCUUGCUACUUUGCUGACGAGCGGCGGACGGGUGAGUAAUGCCUGGGCAAUUUGCCCAUUCGAGGGGGAUAACAGUUGGAAACGACUGCUAAUACCGCAUACGCCCUACGGGGGAAAGGAGGGGACCUUCGGGCCUUCCGCGAAUGGAUAAGCCCAGGUGGGAUUAGCUAGUAGGUGAGGUAAUGGCUCACCUAGGCGACGAUCCCUAGCUGUUCUGAGAGGAUGAUCAGCCACACUGGGACUGAGACACGGCCCAGACUCCUACGGGAGGCAGCAGUGGGGAAUAUUGCACAAUGGGCGAAAGCCUGAUGCAGCCAUGCCGCGUGUGUGAAGAAGGCCUUCGGGUUGUAAAGCACUUUCAGCGAGGAGGAAAGGUUACUGCCUAAUAUCCAGUAGCUGUGACGUUACUCGCAGAAGAAGCACCGGCUAACUCCGUGCCAGCAGCCGCGGUAAUACGGAGGGUGCGAGCGUUAAUCGCAAUUACUGGGCGUAAAAGCGUGCGCCAGGCGGUUUGUUAAGCGAGAUGUGAAAGCCCCCCGGCUCACCCUGGGAACUGCAUUUUGAACUGGCAAACUAGAGUCUUGUAGAGGGGGGGCUGAAUUCCCAGGUGUUCCCGUGCAAUGC
RNAcentral lists this ribosomal RNA (685 nucleotides) under Alteromonadales bacterium fav-2-50-12. RNAcentral describes it as "bacterial SSU rRNA". It matches the Rfam family "Bacterial small subunit ribosomal RNA", at positions 22 to 689 of the family's 1533-position model. Lineage: Bacteria; Pseudomonadati; Pseudomonadota; Gammaproteobacteria; Alteromonadales. The record is from RNAcentral.